CUGGUGGGAUGCUGAGGGAUCCGGACAGUUCCCUGGGAUUUCUGGGCUUUGGGAUCAUGGCAUCGAGACCUAAACGGGGCCCUAAAUGGCGACCAGGAGGGUGCAGGGGACACACAGUGGUGACACCAAAUCCUGCAGCUCCCUAGCAAGGGCAGAGACAUGGGAAGGACCAUCCAUCCCAUCACCCGGUGCCACCGGGAGAGCUCCUGACCCCGGGAAUUUGUCCCUUCCCCAAGUGGCCGUGGCAGCCCCAGGGGUCACACCGGUGUCCCCAACGCAGUGACCGGACCUGUCCCCUGCCACCCCCGCCCUCUGCGGCCACCCGGGGCCGGCUCCUGGCGAGUCCCCAGCGCGGGGAACUCCCGGCCAGGACGGCAGCGGCCAAGGGGAAGCUCGGGCCAAGUGUCCGCGUUUUUGUGCUGACGGGGAAACUUUUCCUUCGACGCUUCCACGGCAGGGAUGAGUCGGCAGCCGGGCUGAGCCCAGCGGGGCGCCGGGGGCCAGGAUCAUUCCCGRUUUUCCCAUUCCGAGCCCGAUCCCGGUGUUUCCCUGCCGCCGAGGCAGCCGUGGGCUGUGGGAAGGAGCAGCUCGCCGCCGUGCCUGGGCAGAGCUCGGCGCGUAGGAGUCCCCACCCGGAAGAGUUUGUCCGGCGGGGACGGGGAGGGAGGAAUCCGAUCCCUCCUUUUCCCAGGCUGGGAUCCCAGCGCUCUCGGCUCUCCGUGGCCUUGGCCGGCUCCCCUCUUUGCCGUGCCCCGCUCCGUCCCGCCGGGCAGCCGAGGGUCCCGCAGCAGCGAUUCCCGACAUCUCCUCUUUGUCUGCGGCUCGGAAAGAUUUUCAGCUCCGGGCUCGGAUUUCGGGCAGAAGGUGUCUGAUUUUCGGCGCCGUUUCCCGAGAUGCUAAUUCAGGACCCUGCGGCGGCAGCUGGAGCUUUACUGUGCCUUGGCCACCCCUCGCUGAGGCGGGAGGUGCCCGUGGUCCCCCGGAAUGCCCUCGGUUUUUCGCUUCUCGCCUUUUGUUCCUGCUGGGGAGUGCUGAUGCUUCGCCUCUCUGCGGCUUUUCCAGAGGCUCGGUGGCGCGGCCCUCGCGGAAUUCCGGCUCCUCGCCUCCCUUCCCACCUUCUU
Malurus melanocephalus (red-backed fairy wren) is the source of this 1121-nucleotide long non-coding RNA. RefSeq lists it as uncharacterized. Lineage: Eukaryota; Metazoa; Chordata; Aves; Passeriformes; Maluridae. The record is from RefSeq and is a predicted model, not a curated record. The transcript has 2 exons.